GUGCCAGCCGCCGCGGUAAUACGUAGGUGGCAAGCGUUGUCCGGAUUUAUUGGGCGUAAAGCGAGCGCAGGCGGUUUCUUAAGUCUGAUGUGAAAGCCUUCGGCUCAACCGAAGAAGUGCAUCGGAAACUGGGAAACUUGAGUGCAGAAGAGGACAGUGGAACUCCAUGUGUAGCGGUGAAAUGCGUAGAUAUAUGGAAGAACACCAGUGGCGAAGGCGGCUGUCUGGUCUGUAACUGACGCUGAGGCUCGAAAGCAUGGGUAGCAAACAGGAUUAGAUACCCUGGUAGUCCAUGCCGUAAACGAUGAGUGCUAGGUGUUGGAGGGUUUCCGCCCUUCAGUGCCGCAGCUAACGCAUUAAGCACUCCGCCUGGGGAGUACGACCGCAAGGUUGAAACUCAAAGGAAUUGACGGGGGCCCGCACAAGCGGUGGAGCAUGUGGUUUAAUUCGAAGCAACGCGAAGAACCUUACCAGGUCUUGACAUCCUUUGACCACUCUAGAGAUAGAGCUUUCCCUUCGGGGACAAAGUGACAGGUGGUGCAUGGUUGUCGUCAGCUCGUGUCGUGAGAUGUUGGGUUAAGUCCCGCAACGAGCGCAACCCUUAUUACUAGUUGCCAGCAUUUAGUUGGGCACUCUAGUGAGACUGCCGGUGACAAACCGGAGGAAGGUGGGGACGACGUCAAAUCAUCAUGCCCCUUAUGACCUGGGCUACACACGUGCUACAAUGGAUGGUACAACGAGUCGCGAGACCGCGAGGUUUAGCUAAUCUCUUAAAACCAUUCUCAGUUCGGAUUGUAGGCUGCAACUCGCCUACAUGAAGCCGGAAUCGCUAGUAAUCGCGGAUCAGCAUGCCGCGGUGAAUACGUUCCCGGGCCUUGUACACACCGCCCGU
RNAcentral lists this ribosomal RNA (892 nucleotides) under uncultured bacterium. Its description in RNAcentral is "bacterial SSU rRNA". It matches the Rfam family "Bacterial small subunit ribosomal RNA", at positions 505 to 1397 of the family's 1533-position model. The record is from RNAcentral.